GAUUUUUCUUUAUAUUAUGUGCAGUAAGGCUUAAUUUAAGCUAUAUUAGUAAUACCCAUAUUUACUGAAGCAUCCCAAAUAAUUAGAAAACUCCUAAAUGAAAUCAAAUAUGUAAAGUUCUCUAAGAGGCCUAGCAUCUCUAAAUCUCCAUUUAAAAAAAUUUAAUUGACACUUUUACUUACUUGCUAAAAUUGUCCUGUUAACUCCAUCUGUUGUAGUAGUUCUUGAGUUCCACUGAAAAAUUAAUUUUCAACACUCCAUAAACCAUUUAUUCUAAAUUUGGGUUUUAAGCACA
RNAcentral lists this long non-coding RNA (295 nucleotides) under Bos taurus (domestic cattle). Its description in RNAcentral is "long non-coding RNA NONBTAT020126". Lineage: Eukaryota; Metazoa; Chordata; Mammalia; Artiodactyla; Bovidae. The record is from RNAcentral.